GGAAGUGGGGUGCGCGUCCCCCGAGCGGCCGCCAUCUUGCCUCUAACGGCACCACGGUUUUUCUCGUUAUUCGCUUCCAGCACAGAAGAGUGGCUGCAGAUUAAAAGUUUCAACUGAAAACCAAAAAGACCACUGCAAAGCAGAAUAAAGUUUGGAAAAAACAUCCACUGUCAGGAAAAUGGCACUAAAUCCAGCUGGAGAGAAACUCCAUGAAUACAAUCUGUGUGGAAGAGCCAUCAGAAGGAAUGCUAACCUUGUUUGGCCCAAGGGAAGUUACACAGGAGAGAAAUGAAAUGAAUGUAAAGAAUGUGGGAGACUGUCUAGUUGUCUUUGAUCCCUUCAGACCCACGUGUGCUCUCAUGCUGGCAAGAAACCCUGUGCGUGGGAAAGCUUCUGGUCAUCACCCAUCCUUUAUGACACAAAUCCACACUGGAGAGAAACCCUAUGAGUUUAACCAGAGUAGGAGAGGAUACACAAUUGGGAGAAGCCUGUGUAAAUGCAAGGACUGUGGAAAGACUUCAUCAGGAGCAGGAACCUGACCGUGCAUAAGAGAGCGCACACCAGGGAGGGACUAUCUGUGUGAUGUUUGUCGCAAAGUCUUGAGCAGGAAAUUCCAUCCGAUGGCACACAUGAGAA
Molecule: long non-coding RNA, 636 nt
Organism: Lontra canadensis (Northern American river otter)
Lineage: Eukaryota; Metazoa; Chordata; Mammalia; Carnivora; Mustelidae
Exons: 3
Source: RefSeq, a predicted model, not a curated record